Molecule: ribosomal RNA, 520 nt
Filed under: uncultured Diversispora
Lineage: Eukaryota; Fungi; Glomeromycota; Glomeromycetes; Diversisporales; Diversisporaceae
Description: SSU rRNA
Rfam family: Eukaryotic small subunit ribosomal RNA
Source: RNAcentral
AGCAGCCGCGGUAAUUCCAGCUCCAAUAGCGUAUAUUAAAGUUGUUGCAGUUAAAAAGCUCGUAGUUGAACUUCGGGGUUUACCCAUUGGUCAGGCUUAAUUGUCUGUACUGGUGAGAUAAAUCUCUACCUUCUGAGGAACUUUCAUGUCAUUAAUUUGGUGUGAUUAGAAAUCAGGACUGUUACUUUGAAAAAAUUAGAGUGUUUAAAGCAGGCUAACGUCUGAAUACAUUAGCAUGGAAUAAUGAAAUAGGACGGAUUGAUUCUAUUUCGUUGGUUUCUAGGAUCACCGUAAUGAUUAAUAGGGAUAGUUGGGGGCAUUAGUAUUCAAUUGUCAGAGGUGAAAUUCUUGGAUUUAUUGAAGACUAACUACUGCGAAAGCAUUUGCCAAGGAUGUUUUCAUUAAUCAAGAACGAAAGUUAGGGGAUCGAAGACGAUCAGAUACCGUCGUAGUCUUAACCAUAAACUAUGCCGACUAGGGAUCGGACGAAGUUAAUUUUAUAAUGACGCGUUCGGCACCU